UACGUAGGGGGCUAGCGUUGUCCGGAAUUAUUGGGCGUAAAGAGCUCGUAGGCGGUUUGUCGCGUCUGCCGUGAAAGUCCGGGGCUCAACCCCGGACUUGCAGUGGGUACGGGCAGACUAGAGUGUGGUAGGGGAGACUGGAAUUCCUGGUGUAGCGGUGAAAUGCGCAGAUAUCAGGAGGAACACCGAUGGCGAAGGCAGGUCUCUGGGCCACUACUGACGCUGAGAAGCGAAAGCAUGGGGAGCGAACAGG
Molecule: ribosomal RNA, 253 nt
Filed under: uncultured bacterium
Lineage: Bacteria
Description: partial 16S ribosomal RNA
Rfam family: Bacterial small subunit ribosomal RNA
Source: RNAcentral